This 497-nucleotide ribosomal RNA is filed under the name uncultured bacterium. Its description in RNAcentral is "bacterial SSU rRNA". It matches the Rfam family "Bacterial small subunit ribosomal RNA", at positions 903 to 1397 of the family's 1533-position model. The record is from RNAcentral.
AAAUGAAUUGACGGGGACCCGCACAAGCAGCGGAGCAUGUGGUUUAAUUCGAAGCAACGCGAAGAACCUUACCAAGACUUGACAUCGCACGACGACGGCAGAAAUGACGUUUUCCGUAGCAAUACGGACGUGUAGACAGGUGGUGCAUGGUUGUCGUCAGCUCGUGUCGUGAGAUGUUAGGUUAAGUCCUGCAACGAGCGCAACCCUUAUUACUAGUUGCCAAUAUUUAGUUAGGAACUCUAGUAAGACUGCCGUGGAUAACACGGAGGAAGGUGGGGAUGACGUCAAAUCAUCACGCCCCUUACGUCUUGGGCUACACACGUGCUACAAUGGCUAUUACAAAGAGCAGCAAAACCGCAAGGUCAAGCGAAUCUCAUAAAGAUAGUCUCAGUUCAGAUUGUGGGCUGCAACCCGCCCACAUGAAGUCGGAGUUGCUAGUAAUCCCGAAUCAGCACGUCGGGGUGAAUGCGUUCCCGGGUCUUGUACACACCGCCCGU